This 481-nucleotide ribosomal RNA is filed under the name uncultured bacterium. Its description in RNAcentral is "bacterial SSU rRNA". It matches the Rfam family "Bacterial small subunit ribosomal RNA", at positions 31 to 507 of the family's 1533-position model. The record is from RNAcentral.
GAACGCUGGCGGCAGGCCUAACACGAUGCAAGUCGAACGGCAGCACGGGAGCAAUCCUGGUGGCGAGUGGCGAACGGGUGAGUAAUAUAUCGGAACGUGCCCGGUCGUGGGGGAUAACGUAGCGAAAGCUACGCUAAUACCGCAUACGAUCUACGGAUGAAAGCGGGGGAUCGCAAGACCUCGCGCGAUUGGAGCGGCCGAUAUCAGAUUAGGUAGUUGGUGAGGUAAAGGCUCACCAAGCCGACGAUCUGUAGCUGGUCUGAGAGGACGACCAGCCACACUGGGACUGAGACACGGCCCAGACUCCUACGGGAGGCAGCAGUGGGAAUUUUGGACAAUGGGCGCAAGCCUGAUCCAGCAAUGCCGCGUGCAGGAUGAAGGCCUUCGGGUUGUAAACUGCUUUUGUACGGAACGAAACGGUGAGCUCUAAUACAGUUUGCUAAUGACGGUACCGUAAGAAUAAGCACCGGCUAACUACGUG